Cyprinus carpio carpio is the source of this 144-nucleotide small nuclear RNA. Its record names the gene U4. It matches the Rfam family "U4 spliceosomal RNA". From Rfam's summary of the family: U4 small nuclear RNA (U4 snRNA) is a component of the major U2-dependent spliceosome. The structure of U4 snRNA from yeast and human has been reported. The record is from Ensembl. NCBI's taxonomy places the organism in Eukaryota, Metazoa, Chordata, Actinopteri, Cypriniformes, Cyprinidae.
AUUCUUUCGCAGAGGCAAUAUUGUAGCCUAUGAGGGUUUAUCCGAGGCGCGAUCAUUGCUGGUUGAAAACUUUACCCAAUACCCCGCCAGGAUGACUUGAAAUACAGUCAGCCUUGGCAAUUUUUUUGCCAGCUUCUGUGGAAG